UCGUAGUCGGCACGAGCGCACCCACAUCCCUAGUUGCCAGCAGUUCGGCUGGGCACUCUAUGGAAACUGCCCGUGAUAAGCGGGAGGAAGGUGUGGAUGACGUCAAGUCCUCAUGGCCCUUACGGGUUGGGCUACACACGUGCUACAAUGGCAGUGACAAUGGGUUAAUCCCAAAAAACUGUCUCAGUUCGGAUUGGGGUCUGCAACUCGACCCCAUGAAGUCGGAAUCGCUAGUAAUCGCGUAACAGCAUGACGCGGUGAAUACGUUCCCGGGCCUU
This 278-nucleotide ribosomal RNA is filed under the name uncultured bacterium. Its description in RNAcentral is "partial 16S ribosomal RNA". It matches the Rfam family "Bacterial small subunit ribosomal RNA", at positions 1074 to 1382 of the family's 1533-position model. The record is from RNAcentral.